This 72-nucleotide transfer RNA is filed under the name Bos taurus (domestic cattle). It matches the Rfam family "tRNA". Rfam says of the family: Transfer RNA (tRNA) molecules are approximately 80 nucleotides in length. Their secondary structure includes four short double-helical elements and three loops (D, anti-codon, and T loops). Lineage: Eukaryota; Metazoa; Chordata; Mammalia; Artiodactyla; Bovidae. RNAcentral also lists the same sequence under 3 other names. The record is from Rfam by way of RNAcentral.
UCCCCGGUGGCUCAGUGGUAAAGAAUCUGCCUGCCAAUGCAGGAGACACAGGUUUGAUUCCUGAUCCGGGAA